RNAcentral lists this long non-coding RNA (1036 nucleotides) under Mytilus galloprovincialis (Mediterranean mussel). Lineage: Eukaryota; Metazoa; Mollusca; Bivalvia; Mytilida; Mytilidae. The record is from RNAcentral.
CUGCGUAAUCGCACGUGUCUCUUUGUUUUUCUUCUAAAUGCCAUUCUAGUUACUUUAAUGUAUAGCCUUACUCAGGCAAAUGCAUUCUCAGAUUCUUUAUCAAUCAUAUUCGUUUGCCACGGAAAGGAUUUUAAAAUUGCCCCUAUUGCAAUUUUGUUUACCAUUGUUUUUGGUUUUCUUCUGCUUGUCCAGUUUAUCUGCAUGGUGUAUCAUAGGUUUUCUACACUUGUGCACAUAACUGCCAAUACGCCUGUCUGGGAAAAUGAAGAAUCCAAACUUCGGAAAAUAUUUGAAAAUGUUGGACAAUAUAUGACAACAAAUAACCAAGAUCCCCCAAAAGAAUCAUUAACAGCGACAGAUAAAAAUAGAACAGUGGAAACGGUUCCAUUUCAAGAGCCUAAAGUAAAAAGUAUGAAACGAAAGGCAAAGUAUUUAAAGAAGUCAAAAGAUGAGUAUAUAGAUAUAGCGGCUGACAUUUGGUUGGAGCAAUUGAGACGAGAAAAACAGCAAAAGUCGGAAGAAAUUCCUGGUCCAAGUGUGAAACAUGAAUAAACAAGAAUGUUUCCUUAGAACACGGAUGCCCCACCCGCACUAUCAUUUUAUGUGUUUAGUGGACCGUGAAAUUGGGAUAAAAACUAUAAUUUGGCAUUCAAAUUUUUGAUUUUUGUAUGUAUAUAUUAGUUUUAAUUUGUUGUUUUUGUUUGAAAUAGCUUAUAGUAGAAUGGGAUUGGAAUGGAUAUAAUUUUUUUGAUCAAACAUUAACCUUUAACCAUGAUGACAUUUUUGGGUUACGAUUAGAGUUUUUCAGGUUUUAUUUUUUGUUUUGUUGCUGCAAUUUGAUAUCAUUUCAAUCUUUAUAACUAAACAUUUCCCAAUUUAAGUUGUUACUCCGAAAAACACAGACUAAGACUAAGUACUAAUACACAAUGAUUAUUCUUCCAAAACUUGAUUUCAAUCGUAAAUUAUCAUAAUUUUUGAAGAAAUCAUGUUGAAUUUGUUAUUGCAAUAUUCGAAAAAGUCAUGACAUUUGAACAUC